GAUGAACGCUGGCGGCGUGCCUAAUACAUGCAAGUCGAGCGAACGGACGAGAGGCUUGCUUCUCUGAUGUUAGCGGCGGACGGGUGAGUAACACGUGGAUAACCUACCUAUAAGACUGGGAUAACUUCGGGAAACCGGAGCUAAUACCGGAUGAUAUUUUGAACCGCAUGGUUCAAAAGUGAAAGACGGUCUUGCUGUCACUUAUAGAUGGAUCCGCGCUGCAUUAGCUAGUUGGUAAGGUAACGGCUUACCAAGGCAACGAUGCAUAGCCGACCUGAGAGGGUGAUCGGCCACACUGGAACGGAGACACGGCCCAGACUCCUACGGGAGGCAGCAGUAGGGAAUUUUCCGCAAUGGGCGAAAGCCUGACGGAGCAACGCCGCGUGAGUGAGGAAGGUCUUCGGAUCGUAAAACUCUGUUAUUAGGGAAGAACAUAUGUGUAAGUAACUGUGCACAUCUUGACGGUACCUAAUCAGAAAGCCACGGCUAACUACGUG
This 497-nucleotide ribosomal RNA is filed under the name uncultured bacterium. RNAcentral describes it as "partial 16S ribosomal RNA". It matches the Rfam family "Bacterial small subunit ribosomal RNA", at positions 28 to 507 of the family's 1533-position model. The record is from RNAcentral.